This 708-nucleotide ribosomal RNA is filed under the name uncultured bacterium. Its description in RNAcentral is "bacterial SSU rRNA". It matches the Rfam family "Bacterial small subunit ribosomal RNA", at positions 61 to 748 of the family's 1533-position model. The record is from RNAcentral.
GUCGAACGCGAGGGUCCCGCAAGGGAUCGGUAGAGUGGCAAACGGGUGAGUAACACGUGGGUGACCUGCCUUCGAGUGGGGGAUAACGUCUCGAAAGGGACGCUAAUACCGCAUAAUAUCCUGCCUUUUAAGAGGCGGACAUCAAAGCUGGGGAUCGCAAGACCUGGCGCUUGAAGAGGGGCCCGCGUCCGAUUAGCUAGUUGGUGAGGUAACGGCUCACCAAGGCUCCGAUCGGUAUCCGGCCUGAGAGGGCGGACGGACACACUGGAACUGAGACACGGUCCAGACUCCUACGGGAGGCAGCAGUGGGGAAUUGUUCGCAAUGGGCGCAAGCCUGACGACGCAACGCCGCGUGGAGGAUGAAGACUUUCGGGUCGUAAACUCCUUUCGACCGAGAUGAAUUUCCGCCGACCUAACACGUCGGCGGGGUGACAGUAUCGAGGGAAGAAGCCCCGGCUAACUCCGUGCCAGCAGCCGCGGUAAUACGGGGGGGGCAAGCGUUGUUCGGAAUUACUGGGCGUAAAGGGUUCGUAGGUGGCCUGCUAAGUCACACGUGAAAUCCCUCAGCUUAACUGGGGAACUGCGUGUGAGACUGGCGGGCUUGAGUGCAGGAGAGGAACGCGGAAUUCCAGGUGUAGCGGUGAAAUGCGUANAUAUCUGGAGGAACACCGGUGGCGAAGGCGGCGUUCUGGACUGCAACUGACACUG